GAAUGCAGGUGGGUUUUCUAAUUUUUGGGGAGAUGAUGAGGAAAUGGUGGAAUAUUGAUGGAGAAGAGGAGGAGCUGUAACAACGAUGAAGGGGAGGACAGUGGAGUGGGUUUCGGAGGAUAAGCCAACGGAGAGAGGAGACGGGUCUAUGAGAAAUCGAUGGAGAUGAAAAUGAUGGGAGAAGGAGCAGGGUGUGGUGAAGAAGAAGAUGGGAGACCUGGAUGUUGAACUUGAAGAAAGCGGUUAAGGGAGAGGCGAGAUUCUGUGGGGUUGUGGCUCUGGUGAUUGAAGGGGCAGAGGUCGAGGGAGGAGGUGGUUUUCGAUGGGUCUUGGUGGAGGAAGGGAUUAAAGAAACGGUAGGCUUAUCUGCGUUUUGAGGAAGAAGAGGAAAGUAAUCUUGCAGUUAAAUUGCAUAGAAAAUUACCAAGACGGCAACGGGCGACGGCAGCGGCAACGGGCGACGGCAAAGCGGCGACAGGCGAUGGC
This 486-nucleotide long non-coding RNA is filed under the name Manihot esculenta (cassava). RNAcentral's name for it is "long non-coding RNA (MESC_LNC008787)". The record is from RNAcentral. Lineage: Eukaryota; Viridiplantae; Streptophyta; Magnoliopsida; Malpighiales; Euphorbiaceae.